Molecule: long non-coding RNA, 8559 nt
Filed under: Ananas comosus (pineapple)
Lineage: Eukaryota; Viridiplantae; Streptophyta; Magnoliopsida; Poales; Bromeliaceae
Description: long non-coding RNA (ACOM_LNC030156)
Source: RNAcentral
UUUUUAUAAGAUUAUUUUUUAAAAAAGUCAAUUCUACAAGGAGCAAAUAAUACUAAUGGUACACAUAAAAACGGAGUGUAAAUCUUAUAUCCAUCACUCAAGGUUUAUAUUGGAUUCUUGUUUUGUCUAUAUAUAUAUAUAUAUAUAUAUAGAGAGAGAGAGAGAGUCCGGUUAUGGUGCUUGUAAAAAUAUCAAGCACUUGGUACUUGUAAGUUUUUUUACCGUUAGAUCUACAUCUUUAAUCAUUUCAACCGUUAGAUUAUACUAUUCAACCAACUACCCACUCAACCCUAAGGGGCCCACAUCAUCCUAACCACACAUACUUUUAGAAGCGGGAACCCCUUGGUGCUUCUAGGUUUCUAACUCUUGGAUCUACUCUUUGAUUAUUAAUAGCCCUUGGAUUAAACACUCUUCCACCUACCACCACCUACCACCAUUAUCCCAACCUUACAUUUUCCAUCCAAUGGCUAAAAACUCAAAAACAUCACCCUCUUGGUGCUUUUGAGAGUGUUUUAGCUCAACUCUCUCUCUCUCUCUCUCUCUAUAUAUAUAUAUACACUUUUUUUAGGUGCACGAGUGAGUUAAUUUUAGCUCGUGUUCGACACGUUUAUUAAAUGAACGAUCGCUUUCGAACUCAUUUCGAAUCGAAUAUGAGCUAGCUUGUGAAUAAUAAGCUGAAUUGUCGGCCCAAAUCAGAAGUGAUAUUUAAAACUUAAAAAGUUAAAGGAUUAAUUUCAUACUGGUUCCUGCAAAUAUAGUGAAUGGCAAAUAUAUUCCUAUAAACUUCAACUUUCAUAUAUUGUCUCUGUAAAAAUUUUGAUGUUUUCAAAUAUAUCCCUGUAUUAGAAUCCAUUGGAAAAAUUUAGUUAACCAUAGGUUGAAUACUUAACCCUGAUUAGUUUUUGACAUUUUUAUCUCUCUUAUAUUAUACUGUUAUGAUUUUUGGAGGGAUAUAUUUGUUAUGACAAAAUUAAAAAUAUAAACAAUUCUCUAACGGUAAUAGAACAUAGAGAUAUAUUUGAAAAUAUUAGAACUUUUGUAGGAACAAUAUAUGAAAGUUGAAUUUUGUAGGGAUAUAUUUAUCAUUUACUAUGUUUACAGGGACCUGUAUGAAAUUAACCUAAAGUUAAAUUUCUAAGCCUUGACACUUUAAAGGAUCCAAAAAAUUUCAACAUUUUUGAAGCUUUCGUUUCUUAUGCUAUAAAAUGAUAGUGGGAGCUACAAACGAUAUAGAUUUUAAUGUGAGAUAUAGGCUUAUAAUAUAAGUAUAAGAAGAGUAAAAUGUUGGCAUAUGCUACUGGGGAUAAACUUAUAAUAAACUUUAGUAUCUUACUUUAUAUAUUUUAUUAUCUAUGUCACAUUUUUAGGGAUUUGGCCCAUGUUUUAAAGUAUUUAUAGUUUCUAGAAACUAAACACAACUAUUUUUCAAAAUUUCUCAAAAAUUUGAAAUUAUAUAUUUACUCGCUUUUUUGACUUUGGAAUGAUUUUUUUUAAUUUUCUUUCUCUCUCUCUCCUCUCCUUUGGUUGAAAACAUUGCAAUUAUCGUUAUUUUUGGGGUAAAAUUUAAAUAUCACCACUGCAGUUUAAUAUUUUUUUUAUUUUAGUAUUUUAUAAUUUAAAAUAUAUCAAUUCAGUAUCUCGUAAUUUUUUUUUUCUUUUCGUCAGUCCUCUGUUAAAUUUUUGUUAAAUCAUAUAAAAAAAAACUUCAGAUACCCUACCUAUAGUUUAUCAAAUAUUUAUUUUAGUAACAUUUAGUUUUAACUUUGUCACUGAUUUAACAAAAAAAAAUUAGUGGAGUGAAUAACAAAAAGAGAAAAAUAAAACCACAGUGUACGAAUGUGACACACUUUAAACCAUAUGGUACUAAAGUGGGAAAAUACGAAACCAUAGGAGUAAUAUUUAAAGUAUUUAUAGUCCCUAAAAACUUAACACCACUAUUUUCAAAAUUUCUCGAAAUUUUGAAAUUAUAUAUAUUUACUCAUUUUUUUGACUUUCUCCUCUUCUUCGGUUGAAAAUGCUGUAAUUAUAAUUAUUUUUAUUUAAUUGUUAAUUAAUAGGUGUAUUUAUAGCUUUAAUUAUGUCCACACAAUUAAGAUGUCAACAGCUCAGAUUCAAAUAAAUUUUUAAAAAUUUAAAAUUGAAUCCACCAAUCAAUAUUGAAAUUUGAAUCCGAACUUAAUGAAUUUUGAAAAUUUAUAUUCAAAGCCGAAGCCAACCAAAAGUUCGAAAUUCGAAAUCGAACCCCAAAGGCCCAAACAACUAUCUCUUUACCACAUUUUAAAAUAUUUAAUAUUAAAAUUUACGAUAAAGCACGAGUGGUAUUUAAAGUGUACCCAAAAUUUUCUCCACCGUACACUCCUCCACCACGUCUAUAUAAACCCUGGUACCAAACCCAAUCGACCAUUCUCCUUCUAUUCCUCUGCGUACCCAAAAAGUACCCCAAAACCCUUCCCUCUUUUCCAUUACAUUACAUUCUCUCAACAGCUCCCCAAACCCCCGCCCCUUCUCUAAGAGAGAGAGAGAGAGAGAGAGAGAGAGAGAUGAGCGCACUGCGCCCCACAUUCCCCCUCGCCGCCCCGAUCGGCGGCGGCGACGGGUUCCGCCGCGGCCGCGCCGGCGCCGCCGCGGCGGCGUCGUCGGCGUCGGCGGCGGCGUCGUCGGCGUCGGCGUCGGCGGGGGUGGGGGUGAGCUUGUACGAGGUGUUGGGGGUGGCGGAGGGGGAGGGGAGGGCGGAGGAGAUAAAGAGGGCGUACCGGCGCAUGGCGCGGCGACUCCACCCGGACGCGGCGGCGUCGCCCCCCGGCCGCGCCACCGCCGAGCAGGCGCGCCGCUUCAUCGCCGUUCGCGAGGCCUACGACACCCUCUCCGACCCCCACCGCCGCGCCCUCUACGACCGCUCCCUCGCCUCCUCGCCCUCCGCCUCUCAUCAGGUCGUUUAUUAGGGUUUCUUCUCCUUCUUCUUCUUCUUCUUCUUCUUUUCUUAGUAAUAAAUCUCUCUUCCGCAUUACCAUACUUAUUUGAGAUAAAUAUCCACUUUUUUAUUUUUUGCGUAAGAUUUUUUUUUCUACAAACACAGUAAAUUAUAAAUAUAUUCCUAAAAAAUUCAACUUUUAUAUAUUGUUCUUAUAAAAGUCCUAAUGUUUUCAAAUAUGUCCCUCUGAUUUAUUCCUGUUAAAACACUUUUUUUUAAUAAGUGCAAUGAUAUUUUUGGCAUCAUAAAUAUGUUUUUCCAAAAGUCUCAAUUAUUAAUUAAAGAGGGGUAAAAAGGUUAAUUCACCUCAUUAACUAAUUAGAAUUAAGUAUUUUAUCUAUGGUUAAUUAAUUUUUUCUAACGAAUCCUAAUGGCAAAGACGUAUUUGAAAAUAUCAGGACUUUUAUAGGAACAACAUAUGAAAACCGAAUUUUGUAGGGAUAUAUUUGUAAUUCACUAUAUCUGUAGGGAACUGUAUAAAAUUAACCCUUUUAAAAAAGUUUAUAUUUUAGAGUUUUAAAAUUUUAGAAAUGUUCUCAAGGGUUACGGGGAUCAAAUUGCAGUUACUUAUUCUAUUAGAAAAAAAGUAGUUUUUAAUGUUUUUCUAUAAUUCUUAAGUAAAGAAGUAGAUGAAAUAGGGAAUUAUUUGUAUCAAUUUGAAAUCUUGAGAGAGUAGAAUAAAAAGGGAAAGUGAAAAAGAUUUUCUUAUCUUAGCCUUUGUUUUUUUUUUUCAUUUGUUUUAGUCUGGUUAAAAUGUAUGAACACUCCUUGAACUUUAACCUAUUUUGCAAUUGACCCUCCAAAAUUUCAUUGCUCUUCUUAUUGGAAAAAGCUAUCCACACAUCCCUUUAGGGCCAUCCAAUGGAUGGGAUUUGCUUACUUAUUAUAUGAUGUGAUUAGUAAAAUAACUCUACCCAUUAGAUAGGUGAGGUGUAUGAUAUACGCUAUCUUUGGUUGGAGUGUAUCAGUAUCAUUGUUAUUUUUUAUUUUAUUUACACCCGCUCAACUUAUAAAUCAUUUGAUUUAGGUCCCAUCAUUUAUAACUUUGGAAAUUCUGUUAGAAUCAAACACCCACAAAGGAAAGAACGAUGUUUAAUAUUAUAUAUUCAAGAGUCCAACUCGGGUGCUUUUAGGAGUUUCGAUGAUGGGAUUUUAAAUCGAAGAUUCGUUCACUUAUAUUUGAUUUAGAGAAUUUAAAAUAUCUAGAAUACACAUAUCGUGAUUUUUCAAUAUCAUUUACCAAGUGAUCUAGAAAGCCCAAAAUCAACAAUUUUAAUGGUCAAUAUAUGAGCCGUUUACAAGUUUAAUGAUGUAGAAAUAUCGAAAUCGGAUGAAAUUUUGAUAGAAAAUCAUCAAACAAUAUUAAUAUUUUUGAUCUAAAAUUUGAGUGUUGUAUCAUCACUUUUUACAAGACUUUUAUAUUCAACCGUUGAUUUUCAGUCUUUUUGAUCACUAGAUAAAUGAUAUUUAAAAAAACCGCAAAAUUUAUUUUCUAGAUACUUUUAAAUAAUUUAGAUAAAGUCUAAUGGAACUAAUCGUCGAUUCGAAAGUCUUAUCAUUGGAAAUAAUUUGAAAGCACGGAGGCUUCUGUGCUUCUAAAAGAAGUUCAACUCGUAUAUUCAAAACUCCACAUCUUGUUUUUCCAACUUGAUGUUAGAGUUCGUGUACAAAUUAGAGUCUUUUAUGUUAUCUUCUUCAUUAAUUUUAUAUGUGGAUUAGUCAUAAAUUCCGUGGCUUUCAAGAUGUUUUCUGCUGCAGCUUUUUUGUAAUGAAGUUUAAUUUCCUUGAAAUAUUUUAAAAACAGUUUGAGGUUAUCUUUUCCUUGACUCUGUGAUACCAUAAAUGAGUGGACUAUUAAACAGGUUCAAAGUUAUUGCCUGCACCUGGUGUAUAGAUUGCUCGUGCACCGCUAGCUUUGUUCAAUUAUAGGUCAUUUAAAUAUCCAACAAAAACCAUUGGAUAAUCGAUAGAUAUAAUCUGAACAUCUAAAGGACCUAGCAAAUCAAAAUCAUAAGCUUUGGAACCAAUGUUGCAAAAAGGGGUAUUGUGCGGUAGGUGAGAAAUAGUUGCCUAAAACUUAUGAUUUUUAGUUUCUAGCUCUUUCGAAUGUCGUAAAAACACAUAUAAUAGAUUUGGUUACUCUUUUGAGACAUUUACGGUUCGCUUCUAUCUUUGUAAACCAUCCAGAGCAUAAACUUGUGCAGUAAUCUCUCUUGUAUUUGAUUGUUUAUUUCCUCUUCAAACUUCAGAAGCUAAAUAUAACUUACUCUAAAUAAAUUACUCAGUUCGUAUACAGUCUCUUCUGUUUUUUUUUUUUUUUUUUUUUUUUUUUUUUUCAUAUAUGAUUGUUCUGUUCCUUUCAAAACUUCUAUUUAUUUAUUUAUUUUGGUUUGGCAAAUUUAAGCAUAUGAAGUUAAUGUGUGUCAUUCAAGACAACUUUUCUGCUUCUAUUGUAGAAAAAAAAACUGGUUAGUUUCAUUUUGUUACCCUCUUGAAGAUUCCAACUUCUCUACAAAUAGUCGGGAUUGAAUUCGAAGAUUUUGAGGAAAUGUACCGUUUCGCAUUUUGAGUUAUGAGUUUGGAUCUUUUCCUUAUUGCACUGCAAUAUUUGCACCUAUUCCUCAUACCUAUCUUUAUAGACAUAAAAAGCUCUAUUUCUUGCGCUCUCACCCUUGAUUCUAUUAUCCAUCAUAUUUUUCUUUUCUUUUUUUUCUCCAUUAGUUAUACUUGAGUUGCGAUAGUAUAAUUAAUCCUUUUAUGUGCUAACUCUUUACUUGUUUAAAAUUAGGAAUUGGACGAACGAUCGCAUUGGAGGAAGCAUUGGCAAGAUCAGAUCGCGGAGUUAUGUUGGAGGAGCAUCGACAAGGAUUCAGAGGAUAACUUAUCUUGGGGAGCUCGAAUGCGACGGAAAUGGGGUGAAUCAUUGAACUGAAUAGGUAAAAUUUUUCAGAGUCAUGAAAAUAAUGGUUUUUUAGUCGAAAUAUUCGGUCAUCUAUUUGUUUUUGUAGAUUUGAUGGAGUUGUGUUCCAUCAUUGUUUUGUUGUAUAUAAAAGAUUAUUGAGUAACUCAGAAACUUUCAUAUAUCUCGAGGAAUCUUGGAAUGUACCAUCUCUUCUUUUUUAUGUAUGUGUUAGGUUUUUGUGUUUAUGACGAUAUAUAUAUAUAUAGAGAGAGAGAGAGAGAGAGAGAGCGAUAGAGAGAAGUGUUACUGUACUAUUAUGAGUAUAGAAGUUUUUGUACUCAUAACUCAUGAGUUGUUUUCGAUGAUGGAUCAUCUGGAUCAACGAUCUAUAACAUUAAAUAUGAUUUAGAGUAUUUGAAGUAUAUAGAAAUCAAAUUUUAUAAUUUUCGAAUUUAUAAUAAAUUUCAUAAUGUGGGUAUAAUAUAAACGAUCAAAAUCGAAUGAUCUCUUAAACAUAAAGGAUAAUGUUUUUAAAUCCAAGAUCGAAAUUAUUUAUCUUGAGCUAUACAGUGAAUAGAAUUUUUUAUUAAAAAUUUAACCGAUUUCGUUUGUUCUAUACCGUUAAUUCGGAAAUGCUCCACAUUGGUUGUUAAUAAAAAUGUUAAUUUUGAGGCCUUGUGAUCGUAAGAUAUAUGAUGUCUUCUUAUAUGAUGUUAAAAAAUUAUAAAAUUUAAUUUCUAGAAUAUUUAAAUAAUUUAAAUUAUAUUUAACGAUAUAGAACGUCAAUUCGAAAGCUUUAUUAUUGAAAAUAACUUAUGAUUACAAAAACAAUUAUACUCAUAAUAGUAUAAUAGUUGGUCUCUCUCUCUCUCUCUCUAAAAGCUUAAGUUGAUAGGUGGAGGUGCUCUUAUAUGUUAUAUACUUGACGGUCUUUAUUUCUAUCUAAUUCUCCUACUUAGUCGCAGAAGAAUGAUUGAGAUGGAUAUAUUAAAUUGACUAAAAAAAUUUAGGAGCGCAAAUCGCAAAAAUAGAAGCUUAGAAAGUUGUUAGAAAUAGAACAGGUCCAACUAAAUAUGUGUAAUUUUGCACAUAACUCUCUAAUGAGGAGGGACACCACAACAAUAACUACCGAAUAAUCUAAGCAUCGAAUUUCUUAUGCAGUUUUUUUAUUCUAAAUUAUGCAACAAUUCAUGAAAUAACGCUUUUUAGAAUGCUUUUUCAUAAACUGCAGUAAGUAUAUACUCAGUUAGUUCUUGAUUGAAUGAGCUAUUACCCCAAACUUACAUUUCACACAACUCUACUGCAAUCUGCAGGUGCGAAGGAUAAUAGUUUCUCCUUGAUAUUGUAGGAGAAAUGGUAAUUGAAUUGAUUAUGUUCUCCGAGAAUGCUCGCCUCCGGAAAACUCCUUAUAGCGACGCAGAGUUUAUUCACACCUAGUUUCACCACCACAUUGUUUGGCGGCACCGGGUAAUCGACACCGCCGCUAAAGUGGAGCGUCAUGCUCGGUAACGUCUCCUUAAACCCCUCAUGUGGCAACACAUAACAAACCUCAAAUAGUUCACUAUUCGUUGGUCGCAAUUUAAAUGGCUCGAAAUAUGCCUUGAAUGUUUCGAUGAUUCGCUCAUACGGUCCUCCUGACAUGAAUGCGGUGAAUGAUGUGCCUGAGUCGAUAAUAAAACCCCCUCUCACGUUUCCGUGAUCGUUUUUGUGAAUGGCAAAGUCCUUGGACUUGAAUCCGAGGCGGUGGCCCGCAACACUCACAUUGGAUAGGGGCAGAAAGUAUGUUAUCAAAGUCGGCGCAUGGAUAAUACGAAUGGUUCUCACUUGAGGGCCUCUGAGAAUAGCUUCGUCGCCGAACUUGAGCCGACUCAACGGUUGCUUAUUGCUCUUGAACGGCGGCAGGCAGUAUGAGAACCUACCGCCGAUCAAUUCCAACAGCUGCCUAGCUAGUGAUAGCGGCUCCAUAUUGAGGCCGAAUACUCCAGACUGCUCCUUCGUCAUCGCAGGAUCUCGAUUGUCAUUUGCACAACCGAAGAUGAAAUUACGUACAAACUCUUUUUGGUGUCUAUCGGACGCGAAGCCCAAUGUUUCAAAGGCGAGGAUGCCUUUCGAUGAAGAGCCAUCGCCAUAUCCUAUCGAGUAGUGGCAGUGGCCUUUGACGCAUUUCCACCCCGGUCGGCCCAGAUCGCACAACGUAUGGUUGCAUCGUAUCGGGUCGAAGGAGCUCGACUCUUUGACCGGGUGGAAGAUCGGUUUGCUCUGUUUCCAGCAGCGGAUGCAUGGCUUGCAUUGCAUCCACAAGAUGUCGCUGGCGGUGUCCAUCACUAGGUAGUUCUUCCGCCUGGUGGGCGUGCCGAUGUAGAUCUCUACCAUGUAGUUGAAGGGAUCACCUUUGAGAUUAGGGCGAAUGUGCUCUAUACCAUGAUCGACGCCGAGAAGGGAUGUUCUCAAGAGCUGUGCACGGGCGACGUCGCUCGCGUAAAGGCGUCGCACUCUCUCAUAUUCGGUGAGGUUACCGGGAAAAAGGGGAAAGCGGAUGGAGUACUUGUGGAUCAAGUUCAGGUGUAAGGAGCGAACGGCGACUAACUCAAGGAACAAGAAUAGAAAACCAACAUGCCAUUCAUGUGCCAUUUCCUACUCUCCCUUGAUAGAAACUCCAAUCACAACAAUUUUUAGUUGCUUUUAA